CACCGAAUCUCGCAGGUUCACCCUGCCGAGAAAUGUGGUGUUUGGGAGGGUCCACUUAUCCCGGGAUCCUGCGGCGAGUUCAAGUCCUUCUUGAAUGGGGCCACGCUCCGCAGAGGGUGCCAGKCCCGUAGAGACCGCUGCGGCUUCCGGGAGGAUCUCUCCUUAGAGUCGGGUUGCUUGAGAGUGCAGCCCUAAGUGGGUGGUAAACUCCAUCUAAGGCUAAAUAUGACCACGAGACCGAUAGCGAACAAGUACCGUGAGGGAAAGUUGAAAAGAACUUGAAGAGAGAGUUCAAGAGUACGUGAAACCGUUCGGGGGUAAACGUGAGAAACCCGAAAAUACCUCAACCGGGGAGAUUCAAGCCUUAUCCGCGCCUCUUCCCCUGCUUUGGCCAGAUGGGUCCGUCCCCCUGCACGGAGCAAUCCGGCGUCAGGGUGGUAACGGGUUUCUACUCGGCCGGGUAGUGGUGGCGAGGUCGGUGGGCCGCACUUCUCCCCUCGUUGGACGUCGCGACCCGUUGGGUGUCGGUCUAAGGCCUGGGUGUGUAGCCUGUUCGUCCGCGUCGCAAGGCGUGUUCGUCGGACAGACCCCCGGUGUUCCGGCCGACGGCUCGACGGUAUGUGUGCGCGGAGUUGAUUCGCCGCCCUUCGGGGCAGGCGUCCGGCCCCUGACAAGCGAGGGCGCGCGGCAUGGACGACGGACCUCCGGCCCGGCUCCGGCCCCGCUCAGCUGUUGGUUUGGGGAUGCCUCGGACAGAAGAAUCUUGUAGACUCCCGUCAGCGGCGCAAAAGCUUCGGGUAAUUUCACGACCCGUCUUGAAACACGGACCAAGGAGUCUAACAUGUGCGCGAGUCAUUGGGUUGACACUAAACCUAAAGGCGCAAUGAAAGUGAAGGUCCCGCCUUGUGCGGACCGAGGGAAGAUGGGCCGCGCUGCUGUGCGGCUCCGCAUUCCCGGGGCGUCUCGUUCUCAUUGCGAGUUGAGGCGCACCCAGAGCGUACACGUUGGGACCCGAAAGAUGGUGAACUAUGCCUGGCCAGGACGAAGUCAGGGGAAACCCUGAUGGAGGUCCGUAGCGAUUCUGACGUGCAAAUCGAUCGUCGGAGCUGGGUAUAGGGCG
RNAcentral lists this ribosomal RNA (1120 nucleotides) under Capnobotes sp. OR591. RNAcentral describes it as "eukaryotic LSU rRNA". It matches the Rfam family "Eukaryotic large subunit ribosomal RNA", at positions 112 to 925 of the family's 3401-position model. Lineage: Eukaryota; Metazoa; Arthropoda; Insecta; Orthoptera; Tettigoniidae. The record is from RNAcentral.